Molecule: non-coding RNA, 117 nt
Filed under: Pan paniscus (pygmy chimpanzee)
Lineage: Eukaryota; Metazoa; Chordata; Mammalia; Primates; Hominidae
Also listed under: 1 other name
Source: Rfam by way of RNAcentral
GCCGGGCAUGGUGGCUCAUGCCUGUAAUCCCAGAACUUUGGGAGGCCGAGGCGGGUGGAUCACCUGAGGUCAGGAGUUCAAGACCAGCCUGGCCAACAUGGUGAAACCCUGUCUCUA